GACGAACGCUGGCGGCGUGCUUAACACAUGCAAGUCGAACGAUGAAAGCUGGAGCUUGCUCCGGCUGGAUUAGUGGCGAACGGGUGAGUAACACGUGAGCAAUCUGCCCUUGACUCUGGGAUAACUCCGAGAAAUCGGUGCUAAUACCGGAUAUGACCCUUGGCGGCAUCGCUGGGGGUGGAAAGUUUUUCGGUCAAGGAUGAGCUCGCGGCCUAUCAGCUUGUUGGUGAGGUAAUGGCUCACCAAGGCGACGACGGGUAGCCGGCCUGAGAGGGUGACCGGCCACACUGGGACUGAGACACGGCCCAGACUCCUGCGGGAGGCAGCGGUGGGGAAUAUUGCACAAUGGGCGCAAGCCUGAUGCAGCAACGCCGCGUGGGGGAUGACGGCCUUCGGGUUGUAAACCUCUUUUAGCAGGGAAGAAGCGAAAGUGACGGUACCUGCAGAAAAAGCACCGGCUAACUACGUGCCAGCCGCCGCGGUAA
This 485-nucleotide ribosomal RNA is filed under the name uncultured bacterium. Its description in RNAcentral is "partial 16S ribosomal RNA". It matches the Rfam family "Bacterial small subunit ribosomal RNA", at positions 28 to 523 of the family's 1533-position model. The record is from RNAcentral.